CCUCGCCGUCCUCCUCGUCCGCGUGCUCCGCCUGGUCGACCCGCCGUCCUCGCCGCCCAUGACUCGCGACCUCUAUGUCGCCUCCGUCAUCCCCAUCGGCGCGCUCUACUCCCUCUCCCUCUGGUUCUCCAACUCCGCCUACAUCUACCUCUCCGUCUCCUUCAUCCAGAUGCUCAAGGCUCUCAUGCCCGUCGCCGUCUACUCCAUCGGUGUCCUCCUCAAAAAGGAGUCGUUUAAGACCUCCUCCAUGCUCAACAUGCUCUCCAUCUCCUUGGGCGUCGCCGUCGCCGCUUACGGCGAGGCCCGCUUCGUCGCCUGGGGGGUCGCCCUCCAACUCGGCGCCGUCGCCUUCGAGGCCACCCGCCUCGUCCUCAUCCAGAUCCUCCUCACCUCCAAGGGCAUCUCCCUCAACCCCAUCACCUCCCUUUACUACGUCGCCCCCUGCUGCUUUGCCUUCCUCCUCGUCCCCUGGUUCGUCGUCGAGCUGCCCCUCCUCCGUAACAGGUCCUCCUUCCACCCGGACCUCCUCGUCUUCAUCACCAACUCCUUCUGCGCCUUCGCUCUCAACCUCGCCGUCUUCCUCCUCGUCGGAAAGACCUCCGCCCUCACCAUGAACGUCGCCGGCGUCGUCAAGGACUGGCUCCUCAUCGCCUUCUCCUGGUCCGUCAUCC
Molecule: long non-coding RNA, 671 nt
Filed under: Musa acuminata (dwarf banana)
Lineage: Eukaryota; Viridiplantae; Streptophyta; Magnoliopsida; Zingiberales; Musaceae
Description: long non-coding RNA (MACU_LNC004395)
Source: RNAcentral